This 460-nucleotide ribosomal RNA is filed under the name uncultured bacterium. Its description in RNAcentral is "partial 16S ribosomal RNA". It matches the Rfam family "Bacterial small subunit ribosomal RNA", at positions 338 to 795 of the family's 1533-position model. The record is from RNAcentral.
CCUACGGGAGGCAGCAGUGAGGAAUAUUGGUCAAUGGACGAGAGUCUGAACCAGCCAAGUAGCGUGAAGGAUGACUGCCCUAUGGGUUGUAAACUUCUUUUAUAUGGGAAUAAAGUGUUCCACGCGUGUGAUUUUGUAUGUACCAUAUGAAUAAGCAUCGGCUAACUCCGUGCCAGCAGCCGCGGUAAUACGGAGGAUCCGAGCGUUAUCCGGAUUUAUUGGGUUUAAAGGGAGCGUAGGUGGGUUGUUAAGUCAGUUGUGAAAGUUUGCGGCUCAACCGUAAAACUGCAGUUGAAACUGGCAGUCUUGAGUACAGUAGAGGUAGGCGGAAUUCGUGGUGUAGCGGUGAAAUGCUUAGAUAUCACGAAGAACUCCGAUUGCGAAGGCAGUUCACUGGACUGCAACUGACACUGAGGCUCGAAAGUGUGGGUAUCAAACAGGAUUAGAUACCCCUGUAGUC